GAUGUUUGGGGGGGGGAAUGUCCCCUCUCUCUGCCACUGAGAUUGCUGUCGCUUCCCCGGCCCAGGGCCGCUCUCCGCCUGGCAGACGGUGUCAAAGCCCAAGUUCAAGUCCACGCCGAGGGCUCUGCCCGGGAUUCCCAGCUCUUUUCCAUCCUCCGCCUUUUGUUCGCCUCUGACAAUUGCUCUUUAUUUCUUACACACCCCCAGCCUCUCCCACCCCCCCUCCUCCCUGCCCGCACUUGGCACCGUUUAGCUGCCUGCCUGCAAACUUAACAACCCCGGUUCUUGGUAUAAGCACUCAAAGUACCCUUCUUUCUACAUAUAAACACGGCCCGGGGGUGUGCGGCUCCUCCCGGCCGCGGGGUCCCCCCUGCGCAGCCCGGCUGCCCCUCACCGGCCCCGGCCCCGCACCGGCCGCAGGAACUUUCUGCUGCGGGACACGGCGGGAGCAAAAUGAGCUGGAUCCAGCACCCCCCCCCCCAACCCUGCGGGGGCUACCCCGGGCCAGCGCUCAGGCGGUGUUGACAGAAGAGGAUGGGAGGAGAUAUCAAUGGCAGGCACACGUGUCCCGGGAGAGGGUGAGAUGCAAGCGGAGACAGAGCAAGAAGUGAGCUUCAGAUGGCUCCAGAGAAGAAACUCAACCCCUCUUUGGAAGGUGGGGGGCACGCCAUGAAGCACCAACCCCUCCAGGCAUCGAGGAGGACCCAGUGGCCAACAAUUCCCAUGCAGGCAGUCAAGCCGAGUGGGGCAGAGCCAGGAGCAGCCAGGGAGGAAGGGAAGGAGGGAGGUGGCAGGAACAUGGACCACAGCCUGGGCAUCCCUGUACCAGCAACUGGGAGCAUGAUGGCAUGGAGCAUCUUAUGACAUGGACGUGCAAGGGAAGACGCUUGCAGGGUCAGAGCAGAGCAAAGGGGGAGAGGUUGGGAGGUGCCAUUCAGGAACCAUCACGCCUCUGGGAUGUGCCCACAGGUAGAGUGGGAUGUGUGAAGGGGGAAACGAUUGCUCCAGCACUUGGAGUAAAGGCCUAAAGGUGGAACACGCGAAGCAAAGGGCUGAGAUGGGAGAGAAACCCCACUUCCAGGGCACCUCCUCCGGUGGGAGAUGACUUUGGAGGGGUCAUGGAGGUCUGAGCUAGCUGAGGGUUUGGCUGGGUGAAGUUAGGGUGAUGUUUCUAACUUGAUUGCAACCAAGCCAGCUCUGCUGGGGAUGGAGGUGUUGUUUAUUAAUGAUGGUUAAAGGAAGGGACCAGCAGAUUUUUACAUCCCAGCAAGCGUGAGGAGGAGGAACAGGCCCUUUCCCAGGCAUUGAACAUGAGCCAUGACUGUACCACUUUGCUGCAGGGCUUUCAAGGCGUCAGCCACGUCCCAAAAAAUAGAUGAUGAAGAAAGGGAGAAUAAACCCCAGUGCAAGCAAGGAAGCACAACCCCCUCUGCCUUAGGGCUGCUCUCUCUAAAGGCUUGACCCUAUUUUAUGGACCCAUGAGGCAAACCCCAAACACAGAGCACAUACCAAUUGAUGGGGGUCUUUCAUUUCAGCUUCAGACCAGGGACCCCCAUUUCCACAGCUGCUGAUCCAAUCACCACAGCCUUUUGUCCCGAGCAAGAGCUCCCUUUGGGAAGGUGAUUUCACCCCCAUAUGCACCCUCCCUGCUUCUCUUUGGGUUGCUCCUUCCCUCCAGCCCCUUUAGCAUCCCUUUACCCUAUUAAUAUCUUCUGACUGUCCUCACACCUGCAGACAAUCUGGUCCCCAACCACCUCCACCACCCCCCUCCUCAAAAGCUUCCCUCAGCUGUCUUUAAGCCGUAGCUGAAAUCUGCGGUAUGUAGGAGGAGAAAUUCAGUCUGACAGCAGUUUAAAACACUGCACUACUUGGCAGAUUUAAAUGCUAUUUUAAAUAUAAGCUAUGACACAACGGACAAAAAUAGCAUUGAAAAUACCCUGUCAUGUUCCAUAUUGCGAGGAAUAGGGAAGCAGACCAGGCUAGAAAGGAGCAGGGAGAGGGGCCAGAUGGAGAGGAGAGGUUAUUUUGUUUGUUUUAAGGGAACGGGAUGGAUGUAUUUUGUAUGUGCCUGGGUAAAUGUGUUUUAUGGAGCACGGAGCCAAAAGUGAAAUAAAUCAACCUUCUCAUGA
Long non-coding RNA from Pezoporus flaviventris, 2129 nucleotides. RefSeq lists it as uncharacterized. NCBI's taxonomy places the organism in Eukaryota, Metazoa, Chordata, Aves, Psittaciformes, Psittacidae. The record is from RefSeq and is a predicted model, not a curated record. The transcript is spliced from 2 exons.